This is a non-coding RNA of Labrus bergylta (ballan wrasse), 467 nucleotides long. The record is from RefSeq and is a predicted model, not a curated record. NCBI's taxonomy places the organism in Eukaryota, Metazoa, Chordata, Actinopteri, Labriformes, Labridae.
UUAAGCCGCGUGCAUCAUCUGGAGCACCUGUGCGCGAGUCCAGUAGCUCCUGGGGUCAGUGUCUGAGGCUAUUCUGCACAGUGGGUGGCCGUAAUGCAACACUUAAGACAAUUAGUAGCUGUCCGAAGCUCAAGGACGUACUAAUCAUGACACCCACGUCAGUGCAUGUUGUUAAAUCGUGACUACAUACCUGCGAUGUGCAGUGACAGUUCAGAGCUUUAGUUUUCAGGCAGAUGGAUGCAGCAGGAAGCCCCUCAGUAAUAUCGCACCCAACCCGGUGAGAGCUGGAAACAAACACACAUUCAAACAAACACACACUCCCAGACCCACGUAUACAUACAGGGGACAGGCACAAGAAAAAGGGGAUGUGGAGUUUCUCCGGCUUAACGCCACAUAAACCAUCAGCAACAGUGAGUGUACAUGCAGUUCUUUUGCACAGGCUCCCACCCUGCAGAAAGUAGGGCAAA